UUUCCGUAGGUGAACCUGCGGAAGGAUCAUUAUUGUAUCAUCGAGGUGCGAGGGCUGUCGCUGAGCCGACUGUUCGUGCACGCCCGAGUGCCCUCACACACAUCCAUCUUACCCCUAUGUGCACCACCGCGUGGGUCCCCCUUUGGCUUGUUCGGAGGGGGGCUUACGUUUUCACACAAACUUUGUAUGCAGUGUAGAAUGUAUUUUUUGUUUUUGCGAUCACGCAAUCAAUACAACUUUCAACAACGGAUCUCUUGGCUCUC
RNAcentral lists this unclassified non-coding RNA (263 nucleotides) under plant metagenome. RNAcentral describes it as "partial contains small subunit ribosomal RNA, internal transcribed spacer 1, and 5.8S ribosomal RNA". The record is from RNAcentral.